GAUGAACGCUAGCGGGAGGCUUAACACAUGCAAGUCGAGGGGCAGCAUAGGGUAGCAAUACUCUGAUGGCGACCGGCAAACGGGUGAGUAACGCGUAUGCAACCUACCCUGUACAGGGGGAUAACCCGGAGAAAUUCGGACUAAUACUCCCGUAAUAAUAUCCGGAGGCAUCUUUGGAUAUUUAAAGUUCCGACGGUACGGGAUGGGCAUGCGUAACAUUAGCUUGGUUGGUAAGGUAACGGCUUACCAAGGCUAUGAUGUUUAGGGGUCCUGAGAGGGUGGUCCCCCACACUGGUACUGAGACACGGACCAGACUCCUACGGGAGGCAGCAGUGAGGAAUAUUGGUCAAUGGGCGCAAGCCUGAACCAGCCAUCCCGCGUGCAGGAAGACGGCCCUAUGGGUUGUAAACUGCUUUUCCAGGGAGAGAAACUUACGCACGUGUUGCGUGACUGACGGUACCCUGGGAAUAAGCAUCGGCUAACUCCGUG
RNAcentral lists this ribosomal RNA (489 nucleotides) under uncultured bacterium. RNAcentral's name for it is "bacterial SSU rRNA". It matches the Rfam family "Bacterial small subunit ribosomal RNA", at positions 28 to 507 of the family's 1533-position model. The record is from RNAcentral.